GAUGAACGCUGGCGGCGUGCUUAACACAUGCAAGUCGAACGAAGCACUUAAGAUUGAUUCUUCGGAUGACGUCUUUUGUGACUUAGUGGCGGACGGGUGAGUAACGCGUGGGUAACCUGCCUCACACAGGGGGAUAACAGUUAGAAAUGACUGCUAAUACCGCAUAACCCGAUAGGAUCGCAUGAUCCAGACGGAAAAGAUUUAUCGGUGUGAGAUGGACCCGCGUCUGAUUAGCUAGUUGGGGAGGUAACGGCCCACCAAGGCGACGAGCAGUAGCCGGCCUGAGAGGGUGAACGGCCACAUUGGGACUGAGCCACGGCCCAAACUCCUACGGGAAGCAGCAGUGGGGAAUAUUGCACAAUGGGGGAAACCCUGAUGCAGCGACGCCGCGUGAGUGAAGAAGUAUUUCGGUAUGUAAAGCUCUAUCAGCAGGGAAGAAAAUGACGGUACCUGACUAAGAAGCCCCGGCUAACUACGUG
Molecule: ribosomal RNA, 479 nt
Filed under: uncultured bacterium
Lineage: Bacteria
Description: partial 16S ribosomal RNA
Rfam family: Bacterial small subunit ribosomal RNA
Source: RNAcentral